AGAAAAGUAAGCUAAUAAAAGCUAAUGGGUUCAUACCCCAUCCAUAGAGUUUAACUCUCUUCUCUA
Molecule: transfer RNA, 66 nt
Filed under: Glyptotermes satsumensis
Lineage: Eukaryota; Metazoa; Arthropoda; Insecta; Blattodea; Kalotermitidae
Description: tRNA-Met
Source: RNAcentral